UAGCAAGAGAUGGAGAAGAAACUACAGAACGGCUGCACAUGCCGAGCUUGCAGGAAAGGAAGAUCACUUGCCUCUAGCUGUUGAAUGGCCUUAAGGUGUCACAAUGCCUGGGCCAAAUGCAAAACCUUCUCCAGCUGAGAUGAGUUUAAUUGAGGAUCGUCCUCCUGAACCCUCUUCAGAGAUUCUGAAAUUGUACGCUUCUAUACACAGGGAAUAUAAGUGAGUAGCUGUGAACAAUACUCCAAUAAUUCAGGAGCAAGAAUCUGAAGGAAAUAAAAAGGCUGAGGACAGGGGUUGUAGAAGAGCA
RNAcentral lists this long non-coding RNA (307 nucleotides) under Anser brachyrhynchus (Pink-footed goose). RNAcentral describes it as "lncRNA (ENSABRG00000017298.1)". Lineage: Eukaryota; Metazoa; Chordata; Aves; Anseriformes; Anatidae. The record is from RNAcentral.